CGGUGUUCAACUGGCGUGUCCGCGGGACGUCCUGCCGGUGGGCUUAGCCCGCAAGGGCGGCCCAACUUCAAAUCCCAUCGCGGUGCUCUUCACUGAGUGUCGAGGUGGGCCGGCACGUUUACUUUGAACAAAUUAGAGUGCUUAAAGCAGGCUAAAACUUCGCCUGAAUACUGUGUGCAUGGAAUAAUGGAAUAGGACCUCGGUUCUAUUUUGUUGGUUUUCGGAACCCCGAGGUAAUGAUUAAUAGGAACGGAUGGGGGCAUUCGUAUUGCGACGUUAGAGGUGAAAUUCUUGGAUCGUCGCAAGACGGACAGAAGCGAAAGCAUUUGCCAAAAACGCUUUCAUUGAUCAAGAACGAAAGUUAGAGGUUCGAAGGCGAUCAGAUACCGCCCUAGUUCUAACCAUAAACGAUGCCAGCUAGCGAUCCGUCGACGUUCCUCUGAUGACUCGACGGGCAGCUUCCGGGAAACCAAAGCUUUUGGGUUCCGGGGGAAGUAUGGUUGCAAAGCUGAAACUUAAAGGAAUUGACGGAAGGGCACCACCAGGAGUGGAGCUUGCGGCUUAAUUUGACUCAACACGGGAAACCUCACCAGGCCCGGACACCGGAAGGAUUGACAGAUUGAGAGCUCUUUCUUGAUUCGGUGGGUGGUGGUGCAUGGCCGUUCUUAGUUGGUGGAGCGAUUUGUCUGGUUAAUUCCGAUAACGAACGAGACUCUAGCCUGCUAACUAGGCGUAUUUUCGACAUCUCAAAGGUCCGUCGUCCCAGCCCUCGGGUCGUGGGCGUGCGCGAUUUUUACUGUCGGCGUACUAUCAAUUCUUCUUAGAGGGACAGGUGGCUUCUAGCCGCACGAGAUUGAGCAAUAACAGGUCUGUGAUG
This 877-nucleotide ribosomal RNA is filed under the name uncultured eukaryote. RNAcentral's name for it is "SSU rRNA". It matches the Rfam family "Eukaryotic small subunit ribosomal RNA", at positions 636 to 1469 of the family's 1831-position model. The record is from RNAcentral.